GUAGUGAUAAGAAAGCGGUUACAUGCAAUUUGUUUUUAUAGAACUCACUUCUGUAACUAUGAUCUAAUAUUUCCUUUCUUUAACAGAACAGUGAGGAAGAAGAGCUUGCAGAGGUAACUAAGAGUUAACUGGCUACAUUUCAGCUGUCACCAUUGUCUCACAUCUACAGAGAGAGUGAAGAGAGCCAAGGAGAUGUGUUUGCGUGUCAUAUGCAGCAUCGUGCACUGAAAAGCUUGAUGUGUGAGGUGGGUGACCCUAGUUAAAGACAUAUGUAAAUGGAUAACGUGUUAAAAAGAAAAUAUGCCCCUUUAAAAUAGGAGUAUAACAUUGAUAGGACCGACAGAUCAUAACAGUAUGUUGUUUAAAAUGUGAUGGGCAGAAAACCUUAAAACACUUGCUUACUGAGUCUGAGAAGGAUU
RNAcentral lists this long non-coding RNA (419 nucleotides) under Phasianus colchicus (ring-necked pheasant). Its description in RNAcentral is "lncRNA (ENSPCLG00000022111.1)". Lineage: Eukaryota; Metazoa; Chordata; Aves; Galliformes; Phasianidae. The record is from RNAcentral.